RNAcentral lists this ribosomal RNA (200 nucleotides) under uncultured bacterium. RNAcentral's name for it is "partial 16S ribosomal RNA". It matches the Rfam family "Bacterial small subunit ribosomal RNA", at positions 8 to 210 of the family's 1533-position model. The record is from RNAcentral.
AGAGUUUGAUCCUGGCUCAGAACGAACGUAGCGGCGCGCUUAACACAUGCAAGUCGUGCGAGAAAGGGGCAACCCCGGUAAAGCGGCGCACGGGUGAGUAACACGUAGGUAAUCUGCCUCCAGGUGGUGGAUAACCUUCUGAAAGGAGGGCUAAUACAGCAUGAGACCACGGUUCCGCAAGGGACAGGGGUCAAAGCCGG